This 341-nucleotide unclassified non-coding RNA is filed under the name soil metagenome. RNAcentral describes it as "partial contains 5.8S ribosomal RNA, internal transcribed spacer 2, and large subunit ribosomal RNA". The stretch from base 1 to 120 matches the Rfam family "5.8S ribosomal RNA", at positions 35 to 154 of the family's 154-position model. The record is from RNAcentral.
GAUGAAGAACGCAGUGAAAUGCGAUAAGUAGUGUGAAUUGCAGAAUUCAGUGAAUCAUCGAAUCUUUGAACGCACAUUGCGCCCUUUGGUAUUCCAAAGGGCAUGCCUGUUCGAGCGUCAUUUGUACCCUCAAGCUUUGCUUGGUGUUGGGCGUCUUGUCUCUAGCUUUGCUGGAGACUCGCCUUAAAGUAAUUGGCAGCCGGCCUACUGGUUUCGGAGCGCAGCACAAGUCGCAUUCUCUAUCAGCAAAGGUCUAGCAUCCAUUAAGCCUUUUUUUCAACUUUUGACCUCGGAUCAGGUAGGGAUACCCGCUGAACUUAAGCAUAUCAAUAAGCGGAGGA